Molecule: non-coding RNA, 253 nt
Organism: Cinara cedri
Lineage: Eukaryota; Metazoa; Arthropoda; Insecta; Hemiptera; Aphididae
Source: the annotation of a GenBank genome assembly
CGACCCUUCAACAAAAAGUCCAGGCUGAUUAUUAUUGUUCGAAUAUGAUGUAUUCAAUUAAACGUGCACGAUAGUUAUUUUUAAUUUCCCGAAAGGUUGAUAUUAGACUAAACCUCUUUCACGAAUAAGCGAUUCAAGUAUAAUAAUAGAUAAUAAUUGACAAAAAAUAAAAACUGAUCUAUGCGACCUAACGACCUAAUUGUAAUAAUGUACUUACGCAUUUAAAAAGGACGGACAUACUUUGCACAUGGGU